UACCGGGUACUCCGGGAGGGCCCCAUGGCCCUGCCGGGAAAGCCGAGACGGCGCGGGAUGGGGUCGCGGCCCAUUAGGUAGACGGCGGGGUAACGGCCCACCGUGCCCGCGAUGGGUAGCCGGACUGAGAGGUCGACCGGCCACAUUGGGACUGAGAUACGGCCCAGACUCCUACGGGAGGCAGCAGUGGGGAAUUUUGCGCAAUGGGGGAAACCCUGACGCAGCAACGCCGCGUGCGGGACGAAGGCCCUCGGGUUGUAAACCGCUUUCAGCAGGGAAGACUUUACGACGGUACCUGCAGAAGAAGCUCCGGCUAACUACGUGCCAGCAGCCGCGGUAAUACGUAGGGGGCGAGCGUUAUCCGGAUUCAUUGGGCGUAAAGCGCGCGUAGGCGGCCGCCUAAGCGGGACCUCUAACCCCGGGGCUCAACCCCGGGCCGGGUCCCGGACUGGGCGGCUCGAGUGCGGUAGAGGAGAGCGGAAUUCCCGGUGUAGCGGUGGAAUGCGCAGAUAUCGGGAAGAACACCGAUGGCGAAGGCAGCUCUCUGGGCCGUCACUGACGCUGAGGCGCGAAAGCUGGGGGAGCGAACAGGAUUAGAUACCCUGGUAGUCCCAGCC
RNAcentral lists this ribosomal RNA (617 nucleotides) under uncultured bacterium. RNAcentral's name for it is "bacterial SSU rRNA". It matches the Rfam family "Bacterial small subunit ribosomal RNA", at positions 167 to 801 of the family's 1533-position model. The record is from RNAcentral.